UAUUGAGAGAGAUGAUGAGAGAGAGGAGUAACAAAAAUGAAAAUAAAAUCUUGAAAGUGAAAACAAUUUGAAAUAGAUUUCAGUUUUUAGUUUUUGUUUUCACUUUUGUUAAUCCUCCCUCCCAUCAUCUCCUCUCAUUU
This 140-nucleotide microRNA precursor is filed under the name Prunus dulcis (almond). RNAcentral's name for it is "sRNA ncRNA". Lineage: Eukaryota; Viridiplantae; Streptophyta; Magnoliopsida; Rosales; Rosaceae. The record is from RNAcentral.